Molecule: ribosomal RNA, 427 nt
Filed under: uncultured prokaryote
Description: bacterial SSU rRNA
Rfam family: Bacterial small subunit ribosomal RNA
Source: RNAcentral
UCGGGAAUAUUGGUCAAUGGGCGAAAGCCUGAACCAGCCAUGCCGCGUGGAGGAUGAAGGCCUUCGGGUCGUAAACUCCUUUUCUGAGGGAAGAACAGCCUGGGGAGGAAAUGCCCUGGGUUUGACGGUACCUCAGGAAUAAGCAACGGCCAACUCCGUGCCAGCAGCCGCGGUAAUACGGAGGUUGCAAGCGAUGUUCGGAAUUACUGGGCGUAAAGGGAGCGCAGGCGGCCGAAUCAGUGUGAAGUGAACUCCCGGAGCUUAACUCCGGACGUGCGUUGGAUACUGUUGGGCUUGAGUUCGCGAGAGGUAAGCGGAAUUCCAGGUGUAGCGGUGAAAUGCGUAGAUAUCUGGAGGAACAUCGGUGGCGAAAGCGGCUUACUGGCGCGAUACUGACGCUGAGGCUCGAAAGCGUGGGGAGCGAACG